GCUAUACAUGCAAGUCGAGCGAAUGGAUUAAGAGCUUGCUCUUAUGAAGUUAGCGGCGGACGGGUGAGUAACACGUGGGUAACCUGCCCAUAAGACUGGGAUAACUCCGGGAAACCGGGGCUAAUACCGGAUAACAUUUUGAACCGCAUGGUUCGAAAUUGAAAGGCGGCUUCGGCUGUCACUUAUGGAUGGACCCGCGUCGCAUUAGCUAGUUGGUGAGGUAACGGCUCACCAAGGCAACGAUGCGUAGCCGACCUGAGAGGGUGAUCGGCCACACUGGGACUGAGACACGGCCCAGACUCCUACGGGAGGCAGCAGUAGGGAAUCUUCCGCAAUGGACGAAAGUCUGACGGAGCAACGCCGCGUGAGUGAUGAAGGCUUUCGGGUCGUAAAACUCUGUUGUUAGGGAAGAACAAGUGCUAGUUGAAUAAGCUGGCACCUUGACGGUACCUAACCAGAAAGCCACGGCUAACUACGUGCCAGCAGCCGCGGUAAUACGUAGGUGGCAAGCGUUAUCCGGAAUUAUUGGGCGUAAAGCGCGCGCAGGUGGUUUCUUAAGUCUGAUGUGAAAGCCCACGGCUCAACCGUGGAGGGUCAUUGGAAACUGGGAGACUUGAGUGCAGAAGAGGAAAGUGGAAUUCCAUGUGUAGCGGUGAAAUGCGUAGAGAUAUGGAGGAACACCAGUGGCGAAGGCGACUUUCUGGUCUGUAACUGACACUGAGGCGCGAAAGC
RNAcentral lists this ribosomal RNA (732 nucleotides) under Bacillus anthracis (anthrax bacterium). RNAcentral's name for it is "bacterial SSU rRNA". It matches the Rfam family "Bacterial small subunit ribosomal RNA", at positions 48 to 760 of the family's 1533-position model. Lineage: Bacteria; Bacillati; Bacillota; Bacilli; Caryophanales; Bacillaceae. The record is from RNAcentral.